GAAGGUAUAGCUCAGUGGUACAGUGCGUGCUUAGCAUGCACAAGGUCCUGGGUUCAAUCCCUGGUACCUCCA
This 72-nucleotide transfer RNA is filed under the name Camelus dromedarius (Arabian camel). It matches the Rfam family "tRNA". From Rfam's summary of the family: Transfer RNA (tRNA) molecules are approximately 80 nucleotides in length. Their secondary structure includes four short double-helical elements and three loops (D, anti-codon, and T loops). RNAcentral also lists the same sequence under 1 other name. Lineage: Eukaryota; Metazoa; Chordata; Mammalia; Artiodactyla; Camelidae. The record is from Rfam by way of RNAcentral.